GAUGAACGCUAGCGGCAGGCUUAACACAUGCAAGUCGAGGGGCAGCAUAAAUAGUAGCAAUACUAUUGGUGGCGACCGGCGGACGGGUGCGCAACGCGUAUACAACCUUCCCUAAACAGGGGGAUAAUCUGGAGAAAUUCGGUCUAAUACCCCUUAACAUCAGAGCAGGCAUCUGUUUUGGUUAAAAUUUCCGGAGGUUUAGGAUGGGUAUGCGUAGCAUUAGCUAGUUGGUGAGGUAACGGCUCACCAAGGCGACGAUGCUUAGGGGGACUGAGAGGUUAACCCCCACACUGGUACUGAGACACGGACCAGACUCCUACGGGAGGCAGCAGUGAGGAAUAUUGGUCAAUGGGCGGAAGCCUGAACCAGCCAUGCCGCGUGCAGGAUGACGGCUCUAUGAGUUGUAAACUGCUUUUGUACGAGGGUAAAGUGGGCUACGUGUAGCCUUUUGAAAGUAUCGUACGAAUAAGGAUCGGCUAACUCCGUGCCAGCAGCCGCCGUAA
RNAcentral lists this ribosomal RNA (503 nucleotides) under uncultured bacterium. RNAcentral's name for it is "partial 16S ribosomal RNA". It matches the Rfam family "Bacterial small subunit ribosomal RNA", at positions 28 to 523 of the family's 1533-position model. The record is from RNAcentral.